Long non-coding RNA from Mauremys mutica (yellowpond turtle), 903 nucleotides. RefSeq lists it as uncharacterized. The record is from RefSeq and is a predicted model, not a curated record. NCBI's taxonomy places the organism in Eukaryota, Metazoa, Chordata, Testudines, Geoemydidae. The transcript is spliced from 2 exons.
CACUCCCUAGUUGCUGGGGAGAGAGAGUGGGCUUUUUGAAUUAGUUCUGUGCUAGAAGGCUUGGCUGUGGCCUAACCAAAGGCUUUUUAGGGUAGGUAGCUCUGGUGUGGGUUCUUUUGCCCCCUAUAACUCAUUUGGGGGCCCUGUUUUGGGAGUGGCAGAGGUGUCAGCACAAGAAGAGACUGAGAGAAAGGCCUUGUUAUGGGCCCUGGUAGGAAACAGCCUGGGGCAUAGCAAAGGGGAUGAACAAACUGACUUUAACUGCUUGGCACAGGGUCCCUGUGCUGGCACCUAGAGGGGAGGCUGGGCCUGAGUUCCCUUACUGACCCACCUAGGAUGGUGGUGUGAAGACCCCCAGAGUCAAAGGCUGCAGGGCCCCCAAAGCCAGAAAGGUGGGCUGAAGCUCUGGCAUGAUGCUGUCAGGUUAUUGGUGUGUGUUGGACUCCAUUUACCCUGAAUGGAGAAGGACUAACAGUGAGCUGGACAGAUAGCUAAGUCACAGAAAGAAGCAGCCCAUGGUAAUAAAGGAGCGAGGGUUGGCAGGCCCUACCAAAGGAGAAGCUGCUGCUGUGCCAUGCCCAGCCGUGAGGGGAUGCAUGUGUCUGUGCCACGGCGAAUGCAUCAGCCAGGCUGUCCAGGACAGGACUGCUAUUACUGAUGACAGGCUGACCAACUUGAGAUGUGGUGGGGGAGACUCGGGAUAAGAUGUUUGCUGAAGUUAUGGCAGAGUCACAGAAGAUAGCCAGGCUUGUUGAGGGGCGGAGGAUGUCCGUAUGGUCCCAGACUGAGAAAGAAAGCUGUCUCAGGUGAUUGUUGCAGUGGCCAAGGAAAGCAUGGCUGUGGCUGAGGUCAGCAUCACCAUGGUGAAGGAGUGGGGGGUAGGAAGGAGAGAUGCAGAGGCAA